GACGAACGCUGGCGGCGUGCUUAACACAUGCAAGUCGAGCGGUAAGGCCCUUUCGGGGGUACACGAGCGGCGAACGGGUGAGUAACACGUGGGUGACCUGCCCUCAGCUCUGGGAUAAGCCGGGAAACUGGGUCUAAUACCGGAUAUGACUCCAUGACGCAUGUUGUGGGGUGGAAAGCCUUGUGCGGCUGAGGAUGGGCCCGCGGCCUAUCAGCUUGUUGGUGGGGUGAUGGCCUACCAAGGCGACGACGGGUAGCCGGCCUGAGAGGGCGACCGGCCACACUGGGACUGAGAUACGGCCCAGACUCCUACGGGAGGCAGCAGUGGGGAAUCUUGCGCAAUGGGCGAAAGCCUGACGCAGCGACGCCGCGUGAGGGAUGACGGCCU
RNAcentral lists this ribosomal RNA (387 nucleotides) under uncultured bacterium. RNAcentral's name for it is "bacterial SSU rRNA". It matches the Rfam family "Bacterial small subunit ribosomal RNA", at positions 28 to 417 of the family's 1533-position model. The record is from RNAcentral.